Molecule: long non-coding RNA, 2557 nt
Organism: Oncorhynchus nerka (sockeye salmon)
Lineage: Eukaryota; Metazoa; Chordata; Actinopteri; Salmoniformes; Salmonidae
Exons: 6
Source: RefSeq, a predicted model, not a curated record
CCUCCAGUUGUCCUGAGCCUUCGCGACGCACAGUCUGGAGGAAUUGAACUAAGCAGAAUCCAGGCAUGGCGACUUCCGGGAUAAAAAUGUGACUUCUGCUUUCCCUGUGACACCUCUGUCCCCUCACUGUCUGUUAGAACCCAUAUUCUGCCUAUGCGCAGAUGAUUAUGGUGGCAAAUACUGUGAGUUAGCAGGAUCAGAUGGUGACAGGGGUCCCAGCAGGGCCAGACAGCCAGGCGGAUUCGAUGGUGACGGGGGCCUCAACAGGGUCAGGCAGCCAGGGAAGACCAGUCUGUGACAGAGGGCCAUGGAUCCCUAGGGGCAGGAUGUGGUGACCCAGCUAUAUUGUGUUAUGAACACGGUUUUCCUUGUAAUGCUGAGAGAUUGAAAGAGACACAGAAGAGAACGAACUCGUAAAAGCACAGCCCCCUUCAUUAUCGACGCAUCGUGGCGAUAACAUCAAAGCGGAUUCCCAGACAGAGUCAGCCAGAGUCUGUCGCUUCAGCCAGGCAAUAAAACAUUCCUAGCCUGGUUCCAAAUUGGUUUGUGCUGUCUUGCCAACUCCUCUGGUCAUUGGAGGGACCCACCAGGCUAUUAAAUUCUAAUCUCACUGGUAUUGAUUUUUUUGUUUGUAUGCUGUGUGAAGGUCAAGAGUAAAACGUUAGUGCAUGUGUCAUGGGAUUUGAGACUCUAAUCAUAAUAAUGUGGAUCGGAGUGGUUAAUUUAUGUUUCCCAUACAACCCUACUGAAGCUAAAGGCUAUAGAUGGUCAGUGUGCAGAGGAGAGCAGCUCUGUGAGGACUGUCAGUCUACCCCAGGCACGCCAGGCCAUUGACACGAGAUCCUGCUGUGAGAUAGCUGUUUACAGCAAAGAGAAGGAUCGUCUACAACAUACAGAACCAGGGCAAGGUAUUCAUAAAGUAUCUCAGAGAGGAGUGUUGAUCUAGGAUUCAGGGGCUAUAUGCCUUAUUGUCCAUUAUCUUACAGAGAACAGAAAUGUGUCUUUGUGCUCACAACCCAAUGGGCUAGAAGCAAUGGGUCAGCCACAGUGCAGCACUUGAAGGUGGUUAAGUGUAGCAACUCUGUGAAGAUCUCCUUCCAGUGACUCACCAGUGACAGCUUGUUUUAUGGUUAUCCCCCUAUACAACAUGCAACCCUCACCGCCCACACAACCACACCACCCAGGAGCCUCGACCUAGUCAUGCCUCUGGAAUCUCUCUUGAUCAGGGCUCAACCUUAAACCACAAGGCUUCAGAUCUUUUACCCAAUGGUCAUGUAAACGUAAUUAAGGUUAGACUUGUCUUUCAAAUUAGUCAUCUGGAUGAAUGGAAUACUUCAUACCUCCAAUUACGCUGGAAGGCCUGUUGGGGACUGAUGAUUAAUGUGGGUUUGUAGGAGUCAGUCAGUUGAUAGUCUCGUCCACCAGUCGACUCUCUUUCUGUUGAACCCAUACUUAUGUGGUAGCAAUUAGCCCGUGGACGAGGUUAGUCAGUUAAUAUCAAAACAUUUAGCCUAUGUUUUUGAAAUCCUUCAGUGUUAUUAGUGCCUGAUGAUAGUCUUGAGUUUUUCAACAACUCAUUCAUUCCAAUCUGUCCAUAAAAGGAGACAGUGUUGAAUUGCAGCUGUUGAAAGAUACAUUCCUUCUCUAUUGGCAAGAAAUAUUAUCUGUGACUGAAUCGUCAUCUUACUUUGUCAACCGUGUUCACACCAUUAAUUACAAGCUCCAUAAACACAUUAACAAUAGAAUAGUGGUUUUAGGUUAUGAACCUAAUGUCAUGCCCUGACCUUAGAGAUCCUUUUUAUUCUCUAUUUUGGUUAGGUCAGGGUGUGACUAGGGUGGGUAGUCUAGUUUUUUCAUUUCUACGCACGCUGUGCCUUGGUCCAUUCAAUGUAACGUUUGUGACACCUAACAUAUAACUUUAUUACAAAUGUGUGAUAUAUGUCCACAUAACUCACUCACUGCAUAUAUACGUACACUUCCCUCCUUAUGUAUUUGGACAGUGAAUAUAAAAUGUUUCAUUUGUUUCUAUACUCCAGCAUUUUGGAUUUGAGUUCAAAUGUUUCAUGUGAGGAGACAGUACAGAAUGUCAAACAUCUGUUUUACAUUAUUACAAAUGUACUUAGUGAAUUAAAGUACUCAAAAGUUUAGUAUUUUGUCCCAUAUUCCUUGCACAUAGCAUGUUUUGUUGUUGCCUCUGUUACUUUCUCAAUCAUCAACAUUCAUGAUUUUUCUUAAUCAUGGUAUUAUCAGGUCUCCACCGAACUAGGUAAAUCCGCUUUUAGUUUUAAAGCACCUCAUUGCUGGAACCAACUACAAAAUGCAUUUCAGUUGGAUGUUCUGGUGCAGCACGGGCAAUUACAAAUAUUGAUUGGGGACCUUCUUAUUGAAGAAUGUAAUUGUUUUUCUUGAAUAUUUGUGUUGUGAUGUAUUUUAAUUGUUUUGUAUUUUAUUUUGAAAUAGUAUAUAUAUAUGCAGGUCUCCCUUGUGAAAAAGACCCUGGUCUCAAUGGUGACUACCUGCUUAAAUAAAAUAAACAUAUUUUUGAUGUGUUCAUAAA